CUACGAAAGGUGCGAGCGUUGUUCGGAUUUACUGGGCGUAAAGCGAGUGUAGGUGGUUUGUUAAGUCGGAUGUGAAAUCCCGGGGCUCAACCUCGGAACUGCAUUCGAUACUGGCAGGCUAGAGUUCGGGAGGGGUAAGCGGAAUUCCGUGUGUAGCAGUGAAAUGCGUAGAUAUACGGAGGAACACCUGAGGCGAAGGCGGCUUACUGGACCGAUACUGACACUGAGACUCGAAAGCGUGGGUAGCAAACAGAAGUAGAAACCCUAGUAGUCC
Molecule: ribosomal RNA, 274 nt
Filed under: uncultured bacterium
Lineage: Bacteria
Description: partial 16S ribosomal RNA
Rfam family: Bacterial small subunit ribosomal RNA
Source: RNAcentral